Molecule: non-coding RNA, 225 nt
Organism: Poecilia reticulata (guppy)
Lineage: Eukaryota; Metazoa; Chordata; Actinopteri; Cyprinodontiformes; Poeciliidae
Source: RefSeq, a predicted model, not a curated record
CUGAUGAAAUAACGCUGAUCAAUAAUGAAGAAAGAAAAAAUUAAACGUGGAAGCCAGAAUCCUCCUUGAGAUGCUGUCUUCUGUUAGUGUCUACAGAAGGAGAGAAACACCUGAGGCAGACUUUGUUAUCUUUUCUUCAGUUAGCUUUAAGCAGGAGCAGUGAAAUAGAGACUGUGCUGGUCACUGGCGUCCUCUGGCCCCGGGUGAUAUGAUCCACUCAUCUGA